Molecule: ribosomal RNA, 301 nt
Filed under: uncultured bacterium
Lineage: Bacteria
Description: partial 16S ribosomal RNA
Rfam family: Bacterial small subunit ribosomal RNA
Source: RNAcentral
CAGCCGCCGCGGUAAUACAGAGGGUGCGAGCGUUAAUCGGAUUUACUGGGCGUAAAGCGUGCGUAGGCGGCUUCUUAAGUCGGAUGUGAAAUCCCUGAGCUUAACUUAGGAAUUGCAUUCGAUACUGGGAAGCUAGAGUAUGGGAGAGGAUGGUAGAAUUCCAGGUUUAGCGGUGAAAUGCGUAGAGAUCUGGAGGAAUACCGAUGGCGAAGGCAGCCAUCUGGCCUAAUACUGACGCUGAGGUACGAAAGCAUGGGGAGCAAACAGGAUUAGAUACCCCAGUAGUCCCUGUCUCUUAUAC